CCAAUAGCGUAUAUUAAAGUUGUUGCAGUUAAAAAGCUCGUAGUUGAAUUUCGGGAUUAGUGCGCUGGUCAUGCCUUUGGUAUGUACUGGUGUUACUGAUUCCUACCUUCUGAAGAACCGUUAUGUCAUUCAUUUGGUGUGGCGGGGAAUCAGGACUGUUACUUUGAAAAAAUUAGAGUGUUUAAAGCAGGCUCGCGCUUGAAUACAUUAGCAUGGAAUAAUGAAAUAGGACGUUUGACCCUAUUUUGUUGGUUUCUAGGAUCGACGUAAUGAUUAAUAGGGAUAGUUGGGGGCAUUAGUAUUCAAUUGUCAGAGGUGAAAUUCUUGGAUUUAUUGAAGACUAACUACUGCGAAAGCAUUUGCCAAGGAUGUUUUCAUUAAUCAAGAACGAAAGUUAGGGGAUCGAAGACGAUCAGAUACCGUCGUAGUCUUAACCAUAAACUAUGCCGACUAGGGAUCGGAUGAUGUUAAUUUUUUAAUGACUCAUUCGGCGCCUUACG
RNAcentral lists this ribosomal RNA (500 nucleotides) under uncultured Glomeromycotina. RNAcentral describes it as "partial small subunit ribosomal RNA". It matches the Rfam family "Eukaryotic small subunit ribosomal RNA", at positions 591 to 1092 of the family's 1831-position model. The record is from RNAcentral. Lineage: Eukaryota; Fungi; Glomeromycota.